GGGAAGUUGAAUAAGCCUGUUUCGAAAAGAUAAUUGUUCUAACAUCCGUAGCAAUUAUUUUGCCUGACCUUAACUACUGGGUACAUUUUUGGUUGCUAUUGUGUGUCUAUGCUAUUUCUCUGUGUCUGUUAUUUCUGCUCACCAAAUGCUCAAAGACUUUGUUUCUUCUCUUCCAUUUUGAAUAGCGUUCACCUUGUGCUGACACUUGGACAGGGAAGCCCAGCUGGACUCUACCCAAUCCACCUGAGCCUUCCAGAGGAUUUUUCAGAGACUACUCUUAAUGUUGUUGGUUCCUUUGACAUGUUGAGCACUGAAGAGUUCCAGGAAAAUAAAGUGCUCCAGCACAUGCAAUUCCCACAUCAGCCUUGGGAGAAGAGGCUUGCAGUCCAUAGAAAGUGA
This 399-nucleotide long non-coding RNA is filed under the name Apteryx rowi (Okarito brown kiwi). Its description in RNAcentral is "lncRNA (ENSARWG00000004701.1)". The record is from RNAcentral. Lineage: Eukaryota; Metazoa; Chordata; Aves; Apterygiformes; Apterygidae.